GAGCGUUCCGCCCAGGGGGAAGCCAAGCGCGUAAGCCGCGGUGGACAGGGCGGAAGUGAGAAUGUCAGCUUGAGUAACGAAAACACUGGUGAGAAUCCAGUGCCCCGAAAACUUAAGGGUUCCUGCGCAAGGCUCGUCCGCGCAGGGUCAGUCAGGACCUAAGGUGAGGCCGAACGGCGUAAUCGAUGGCAAGAAGGUUUAUAUUCCUUCACUAGUCUAGGCUUAGUCCUGAGGGA
Molecule: ribosomal RNA, 236 nt
Filed under: uncultured eukaryote
Lineage: Eukaryota
Description: partial Bacterial large subunit ribosomal RNA
Rfam family: Bacterial large subunit ribosomal RNA
Source: RNAcentral